GAUGAACGCUGGCUGUGUGCCUAAUACAUGCAUGUCGAGCGAAGCACUUUUGUGCUUAGCGGCGAAUGGGUGAGUAACACGUACUUAACCUACCCUCAAGAUUGGGACAACACUUGGAAACGAGUGCUAAUACCAAAUACGUAUUUUUAUCGCAUGAUAGAUAUAUAAAAGGAGCUUCGGCUUCACUAGAGGAUGGGAGUGCGCUACAUUAGUUAGUUGGUAGGGUAAUGGCCUACCAAGACUAUGAUGUAUAGCGGGGCCGAGAGGCUGAUCCGCCACACUGGGACUGAGAUACGGCCCAGACUCCUACGGGAGGCAGCAGUAGGGAAUUUUCCACAAUGAACGAAAGUUUGAUGGAGCGACACAGCGUGCAGGAUGAAGGUCUUCGGAUUGUAAACUGCUGUUAUAAGAGAAGAAAAACCCUAGUAGGUAAUGACCAGGACUUGACGGUACCUUAUCAGAAAGCGACGGCUAACUAUGUGCCAGCAGCCGCGGUAAUACAUAGGUCGCAAGCGUUAUCCGGAAUUAUUGGGCGUAAAGAGUUCGUAGGUGGUUUUGUAAGUCUGAAGUUAAAUACCGGGGCUCAACCCCGGCCCGCUUUGGAUACUGCAAAACUAGAGUAAUAGAGAGGUUAGUGGAACUCCAAGUGAAGCGGUGGAAUGCGUAGAUAUUUGGAAGAACACCAAUGGCGAAGGCAACUAACUGGAUAUUAACUGACACUGAGGAACGAAAGCGUGGGUAGCAAACAGG
Molecule: ribosomal RNA, 750 nt
Filed under: uncultured bacterium
Lineage: Bacteria
Description: bacterial SSU rRNA
Rfam family: Bacterial small subunit ribosomal RNA
Source: RNAcentral